Molecule: long non-coding RNA, 383 nt
Filed under: Brassica rapa (field mustard)
Lineage: Eukaryota; Viridiplantae; Streptophyta; Magnoliopsida; Brassicales; Brassicaceae
Description: long non-coding RNA (BRAP_LNC002120)
Source: RNAcentral
UAAUCUCCAAAAAUUAUUUUAUUGACGAACACAAAUCAAAGUAAUUUUUUUUUUCAUUUUUAGUUAGAUCACAUUUUAGAAUUGUGGGAAUAGAUUAAAAUUUUUUAUUUUUUUUUAUUUUUUAAAUAAAAAUAUUAUUAAUUAUUCACCAAACCCGCAAAUCGAGCAAUAAUAAAAAAUACUGAAGAAUAUAAUGAUUAUGUAACAUAAAAUAAUAAAUUUUAUAUUAAAAAUAAAAAUGAUAUCUACAUCAAACUUAACAAAAACAUAAAAGAAUACGAUCCAAAUUACUUCUUUCAAUUUUUUGUUUCUUUCGGUAUUGACUCCGCUUUGUAUAAUAUGGGUUUAUCGAUAAUAUGAUACAAAUUACUGGUAACUUUUCG